Molecule: ribosomal RNA, 420 nt
Filed under: uncultured bacterium
Lineage: Bacteria
Description: bacterial SSU rRNA
Rfam family: Bacterial small subunit ribosomal RNA
Source: RNAcentral
GGGCCCGCACAAGCGGUGGAGUAUGUGGUUUAAUUCGAUGCAACGCGAAGAACCUUACCAGGGCUUGACAUCCUGCGAACCUCUGGGAAACCGGAGGGUGCCUUCGGGAGCGCAGUGACAGGUGGUGCAUGGCUGUCGUCAGCUCGUGUCGUGAGAUGUUGGGUUAAGUCCCGCAACGAGCGCAACCCACGUCUUUAGUUGCCAGCAUUUAGUUGGGCACUCUAGAGAGACCGCCGGUGAUAAACCGGAGGAAGGUGUGGAUGACGUCAAGUCAUCAUGCCCCUUACAUCCUGGGCUACACACGUACUACAAUGCUACGGACAAAGAGCAGCAAGUUCGCGAGGACAAGCAAAUCUCAUAAACCGUGGCUCAGUUCAGAUCGUAGGCUGCAACUCGCCUACGUGAAGGAGGAAUCGCUAG